UACGUAGGGGCAAGCGUUGUCCGGAAUAAUUGGGCGUAAAGGGCGCGUAGGCGGCAAGGCAAGUCAGCAGUGGAAGUCCCAUUUUCAAGGUGGGGAGGGCUGUUGAAACUGCGUUGCUUGAGUGCAGGAGAGGUUAUCGGAAUUCCCGGUGUAGCGGUGAAAUGCGUAGAGAUCGGGAGGAACACCAGUGGCGAAGGCGGGUAACUGGACUGCAACUGACGCUGAGGCGCGAAAGUGUGGGGAGCAAACAGGAUUAGAUACCCGGGUAGUCCCUGAG
This 277-nucleotide ribosomal RNA is filed under the name uncultured prokaryote. RNAcentral describes it as "partial 16S ribosomal RNA". It matches the Rfam family "Bacterial small subunit ribosomal RNA", at positions 524 to 801 of the family's 1533-position model. The record is from RNAcentral.